RNAcentral lists this transfer RNA (74 nucleotides) under compost metagenome. Its description in RNAcentral is "tRNA-Gly". It matches the Rfam family "tRNA". From Rfam's summary of the family: Transfer RNA (tRNA) molecules are approximately 80 nucleotides in length. Their secondary structure includes four short double-helical elements and three loops (D, anti-codon, and T loops). The record is from RNAcentral.
GCGGGUGUAACUCAGCUGGUAGAGUACCUGCUUCCCAAGCAGGCUGUCGCGCGUUCGAAUCGCGUCACCCGCUC